UGAACAGGAAGGAUUACUUUAUAAAUAAAUUAGCUGCAAGACCUACCUGCCGAACUAAUGCAAAAAUAACUGGAAAAACAAGAUCUGUUAUUGAAACAAUCCAAAAUCAAUCACAACAGAUUGAAUCAAAUUUUAAGACCAUAGAAAUCGAAAAACUCAAAUCGAGGUAGAAUUCACAAAUCACUGUCGCCUGAAACACCCUAAAUUUCUUCAACUUCAACCUAGUGGAACAAACUAAAUCUUAACCUACAAAUCUCAAACAAAUCUGAUUAAAUUACUUACCUAAUACAUACAUAUAAACAAAUAUUAUCAUUGUACCUUUUCAUGGUUGCCAAAAAACGAUCUAGUAUGUACAAACAAUCUGCGGCAGCGUCUUUAACGAUUCACGAUUUCAAUUUUCAAAACAUAAAAAGUAAAUAAUAAUUCAAUAAAAUUAAAACAUAAAAAACUAUUUCGAGAUACACUUUCUUCCGAAGACGAACAACAAGGUAGCAAAACAGAUGCGUGUGCUUACACCUCCGAAGCAAAAGAAUGAAUCGAAUCAAAGAUUUCAGUUCAGAGGUGAAGACACACGUAUCAGUUUCACUAACCUAGACACAAGCCCUUCUUGCGCAGCCGAAAACAACACGAACCCUAAAGAUGAAGUUAGUAAGGUGGGAUGAUGGUGAUUUAUAUAGCGUUUCAUUAGGUCAAACACAAGGAGGGUUUCGUAAUUUUGCCAUGUGUUAUUUUUUCUUUUCUUUUUUUCUAAGCCCAAAAUUCUUACCGUGUUUUAAUCGAAU
RNAcentral lists this long non-coding RNA (782 nucleotides) under Lathyrus oleraceus (garden pea). RNAcentral describes it as "Pisum sativum (pea) long non-coding RNA (PSAT_LNC036043)". The record is from RNAcentral. Lineage: Eukaryota; Viridiplantae; Streptophyta; Magnoliopsida; Fabales; Fabaceae.